GGCUCGGUGGUGGAUGGUCCACGCCUGCUCCGUAUAGGUAACAAAGAUUUUCAAAAGCAGGAGGAGCCUGUUCGAAUCAGGCCUGAGCCA
Molecule: non-coding RNA, 90 nt
Organism: Mycena rosella
Lineage: Eukaryota; Fungi; Basidiomycota; Agaricomycetes; Agaricales; Mycenaceae
Source: the annotation of a GenBank genome assembly